RNAcentral lists this long non-coding RNA (30281 nucleotides) under Triticum aestivum (bread wheat). RNAcentral describes it as "long non-coding RNA (TAES_LNC026316)". The record is from RNAcentral. Lineage: Eukaryota; Viridiplantae; Streptophyta; Magnoliopsida; Poales; Poaceae.
AGCACUUCGAGGGUGGGUACUGUGCCACUAAGAAGACAAUUGUUGGCAAUGAGCUCAACAAAGACAACGACGAAAACUUCUUUCACAAACGACCUAAGAAAAAGACAUGCGUAUGUACACUUCAAUGCAGUAAAGCCCCACCACCAUCGUCAGAACCUGACGUGCCAGAGCCACCGGGUGAACCUGAGCUGCCAGAUCCUAAGAAGAAGCCGCCGCCGCCAUAUGUACGUGAUGUGCCGGAGCCGCCCUCGGGAGAAAACAAGAAGAAGCUAGUGGCAGCUGCUGACCAGUGAGCAAAUGGUCUAGCCUGCCCGUCCGUGGAAAAUGAUUUCAAUAAGACAGGAAUUAAUCAAUGCUUACUAAAGCCUACGAAACCUUCCAUCCCUAAUUAAUCUCCUCCCCCUGAAUUUCAUUGGUGGGGCAUGCGCCCUUUUCCUUUCCAAUCAAAACCUUCCACGUUAGCUCUCACGUAAAGUAUGUCAAAAGAUUUUCGUACAUGUAGCGUUAUCCUUGAAUGCUCCAUCCCACCCACGCUCGGAUAAAAGAAAAGGAAAAAUAAUGUCCACGAUCACGUAUCUCUCCGCUCACCCGAGAAAAUUUGCCGACGCCGCCCCACUCCUCGUUUGCCUCGUGGUCGUGGGCGCGGCCGCCGGGAUAGGGGACGGGGUGGGAGCGCGGUGCACGACUGGAGGCAGAGUAGGGUGUCUUGUAGUGAAGAUGUUCCCCACAACCACUUGAUCGCCUCGUCGUCGUCGUGGUUGUGGGAGCGCGGCCGCCAGGAUGGGGCGGGGUGGGAGCGCGGUGUGCGAUUGGACGCAGAGUAGGGUGUCUUGCAGUGAUGCAUCCAGCAAGUGUCCCAGGCUGCAACGUCCUUUGACAUGGAUACAAGCGCAUGCAGGGAGAGAGAACUGACUGGGAGGUGUAUGGGGUCAACGCCCCCAUUAGCUUGUUGCCCGCCGCUGCUGGACGAGAUUAUGGUGGGUGCCGAUUUGAAGCGUGGGGGGAGAGCACCGGGGAAGGGCGUCGCAUUGGGGAUCGAUUUGGCCCCGAUCCGGCUUGAUGGAAUACAAGCCAUGCCCAUGCCACCCCAUGGACGCCCCUGACCGAGGUCGGGGCUUGCCGUGGGUGCAUCCGCACCGGCGUGGUGGCCUGCAGUCCCUACAACCAGCAUAAGCUCUGAAACGUGGGAAAGACGCAAGAUCAGAUGUUCCCCACAACCUGAACAUGUGAGCUAUGAUAUUUCUCCCGGCAUGUGUGUUGCUUCCGCUGGAUGAUGCUCUGUUGCCUCCUAGCUGUUGUAGUCUUUCCUUCUCUUGCUGCUCGAUGAAGUUGGUCGUGAUGCUAGCUUUGCAUGCUAUGGAGUUUCUAGUUUUGACUUACAUUGAUCUGAUUAUGUAUACCUUUUUUGGGGCGGGGGUAUAUGUAUGCCAGUAUACAUUAUUAAGUACUGGGGAGAAGAGGGGGAUGUAUUGUACCUCUGUGGAACAUCGUCUUUUAGCUGAAUCUAUAUGUUUAUUCAAUCUGAACUUGGAUGUUUUAUUUGGCUUGCACACCCCGUGUAAAGAAAUAUAAGAUCGGUUUGAUCACCAAACUACCUUGUGAUUUCCUAUGCUGCAAACUGUAAUUAGUUUUCUUUAGCUGCAGGCUUUGUUACUAUAGUUGGCUAAUGGCUAAUGCACUUAAUUGGGACCAUUUCUGGUCUGAUAAUAAAUGCAGGUAUGUCUAAUUUGGAUCUUAACUAGAGCACCAACGUAUGCUUCUAACACCUCUGAAAAAUUAUCGCAACUGAAGUAUUGGACUCAUCUAUAUAUGGACAUCAUUCUAGCUUACUCCUUUGGUACGUACACAUGACAACUGAGAUUGGAACCCCCUUUUGUAAUGAUAAUCACCGUAAUCUGCAAUUGAUUCAGCAUCACAUGGGAAAAUAAGUGGGGAUAUUGUCACUAAAAAAUAUUCCAAUUUUGUGGAGCUUGACUAGCUGGGAUCAAUUCUUCCAUUCCACAGCAUGCUUUGUUACGAAGCAAUAACCCAUAUCUCCACAUGCUGGAGUUUCAGUUUCCUUGGAUGUUGCAAUAUAUAGUUCAAAACUUCAUCUGUGGAUUUGGUUUCGAUCACAAAGAAUUGGUAGACAUUCUUGCUAAUUUACUAGGCCCUUUCCAGCAGCAGAUUCCUUUUAAUGUAGAUAUGCCAUGCUUACAGUUUGACAUGAAUACUUCGUGUUGUGCUUCUUAGCUCUAAUAGUACUUUGUGUUUACUUAUACUAGCGGCUGGGGUCACUACUGGGAAAGCGAUUAUAGGUGAAUCCUAAUGAGUGGCGGGCAUAGUCGGUAACCCGCAACAACUAUUUUUGAAAACAAGCAGUGGCGGGUAGCAAACACUGUCCGCCACAGCUAGAAGCUCACUUUAGGAAAGGGGUUUGAAGAAAAUAUGUUGUCUGUGCGUUGUUUGCGAGAAUGAUGUUAUAUACACAAUUGAAUCGGGAGAGUUGCAUAAGCACUUGUUGGCUGGUGGUUUCAUGCCCGGUUAUACGAUAUGGACAAGUCAUGGUGAGGAUGGGAUGUCAUGUGAAGGAGCGAAACAUGACGAGGAACAAGAAUGGUUGAUGUUUGGACAUGAUGAACAAUCUGACGGUGAUGAAUACAGCGAGUCUGGUGAAGAGUCCGACGAAAGUGAGGAGGCCGAAAUGGAGGAGGCAAUCAUCUAGGGCAAAUUGGCGGGAAUGGUGCACGAUGAACACAUGCAAGAGUUGAACAUGAAAGAGACUAGCACCAAGGCAGCUUCUCGUAGAGAGGCUACCAAACUGGCGACUCUUGUGAAGGACUUAACAGCCGCUUUGUACGGUGGUUGCAAGGCAAAACAGACACGACUAAGUGUCACGAUGAAUCUUAUGGACAUUAAGGCAAAAAACAAUAUCACAGACACUUCCGUCGAUAUGAAUUUGAAGUAUUUGCAUGAUGUUCUUCCUAAAGGCAACGUGUUGCCAAAAAGUAUUGAUGAGGCAAGGAAGGUAUUGUGUCCUCUUGACAUGGAGCCGGUAAAGUACCAUGCAUGCAAAAAUGACUGCGUAAUUUACCGGAACGAGUACUCCAACCUAAUAAGGUGUCCAACAUGCAAGUUUCCAUGAUUCAAGCGGGGAAACAACAAUUGGGAAGACAAUGAUGAUGGUAGAGCACCCGCUAGCGGUACUCCUUAUAAGUUUGUAUGGUACUUCCCAAUCAUUCAACGCCUGAAGCGUUUGUAUGCAAACAAGAAGCAGGCAAAGCUUAUGAUUUGGCAUUCUAAGAGGAAUAAGUAUGACAGAGUGAUUAAACACGUUGCAUAUGGUCGGCAGUGGAAAGCAAUCGAUGACGAGUUCCCUCAUUUCAGUGGAGAUGAUAGGAAGCUGGGCUAUAGUGUGGAUGGUCUGAAUCCCUUUAGUAACCAAAACAGCGCACACAACACCUGGCCCGUGGUUGUCUGCAUCUACAACCUUCCCCCAUGGGUGUGCACGAAGAGAAAGUACACAUGGUCAUGCCAGUUCAACAACCAAGCCAAUUGGGUAGUGAUUUGAACAUGUAUAUGUAACUACUGAAGGAGGAGUUAGAAAUUUUAUGGGCAGAUGAGGGGGUGUGUACAUAUGACGCUAAAACGGGUACGUAUUUCGCUAUGAAAGUUGUGCUGCUCACGAUGAUGGAGGACUAUCCGGUAAACGGUUAUAAUUCGGGUCAAGUUUGCCACAAGAACUGUGCAUGUGUUAGGUGAAUGGAUGAAACUCAUUCUCUAUAUCUGAAGGCCUCUCAUAAAACAGUUUACAUGAAGUAUAAGUGAUUGAAAAGAAACAUUUUGAUAGAUUUAAUUUCCAGUCUUCUAAAUAUAGAGAUUUUUUAUGCACUAUAUACGGAUGGUUUAUUGUACAAUAUACGACACGUACGUACAUGUUAGGGCCAUCUUAAAGGAGCUCUUCUUACCCUCAGCUACUGGACCUCCUCAUUCGGUUAUGAUCUAGUAUGAUGACCCUCAUCAGGUGUACUACUACUUAUAGUUCAUCUGAGUUUCUAUUCGUGUAUGGGUACCUAGAUGGCCUGUCCUAUGUUCCUUAGCUCCACAAUCUCAGCGACUGAUAUAUCUUGAUAUUUACUUAUCAGACGUAACGUUAAUUGCUGACAUCAAUGUCUCCUGCUAACAUAAGUCGAUGUGCAUGUACAUGAAUCAAAACAAGUAACAAACAAGUAAACCCAAUUGUAUAGAGCCAACAUAGCACCACAAAGGACCACCUCAGUAGGCGCAAUCGUGCACCCCAUCCCCUAGUACCUUAUAGCAAAUCUACUAGUCAUCUAUUGGGCAAAUUAUAGGAAAAAGGCUCUCUAGCAGAGUUGCAAUAUCUAGCAAAAUUGACAUAAUUUUGUAGAGCAUCCUCCAUAUUCGGCCUCCCAGCCCCAUAUUUGGAGUCUUGGGCUACCUUUUGGAAGACGCUCCAUAUGGCUAUUCUGUGUGGCGGGAAGAAAACCUCACAUGAUCCAUCACCUCACAUGGGAUCGAUAUUUUAAUUGGAGGAAAAUUGUAUUCCACUGGAAUAUGGGUCCAUUGAUUAUGAAGGCCACAUUAUGGCGACUAUGUGUUUAUACGCACAACCUCGGUGGACUCCAUAAUUUAUAUGGAGCGCACAUCAUAUGAAUACUGGGACUCCCAAUAUGGCGACUCUGCUAGAGUUGCUCGUAGGAGGCAUGUAGCCUUGCCCACAAAUGAUCGCUAGGUUCAAGGAACGCAACUGCUCGGCCAUGUUGCAUUCGGCCCGUAAAAUAAUCUCAAGUAAAACUUCUCGUUCCCCGCAUGACAGGACCCACACAAUAGGACUGCACAUAUCACGCCUCAGUCAUAAAAUGUCUCCUGAUACCCGUUGUUUCUUUUCUCCUAGAGACCAUGGCGAUCAUAGAACACACCACCUGCGAUGUUACCAGGAGUGCUUCCCCAAUACCAACUAGCGACCAUGGAGGACCAUCGUCGUACCCUCGCGACCAUUGGGCCACCGUCGAGAUCCAUUAGUCGCUGGGAUCCAGUCCUACUGUUCUUCACCGCCGGUCGGAGCUUGCCAGAUGCUCCAUCUUUCGAUGUUCACCGCCUCGUUCUCCGCCACCUUCCUCUUCCCUACAGUUUGUAGUCUGCUAAUUGAUGUUUGUGAUGAUCGACUCCAAGAGAAUUUUGGGUUGACCGGACCUCUCCUCCAUUGCUGACAACGGGUUGCAUGGAAGGUUUUGAAUGCGUUGUUGCGCUCGCUCACAAUAGAUCCAACCCUGCCAGGGAUUUCAAGUGGUCUCUCCGGAGUUUGUCUAAACCCAUUGUGGUGGAUGUUAAGGUUUUGGUAAUAGGGUUUAGAGUGGAGUGAGGGUAAAAUUUCUAGGCAUUAUGGUAACUAUGGUACUAGUUUGUGACGACCCAGUAGGAAGGGAUCGCAGUCACAUAACUGGAUAGGUAGGGAAGCAAAUGGUGAAGUUGGGGAAGACAAUGUUGAGGAUUCAUAGAGAAUUUGAGAUAAGAACUACAAUGCGCAUUCCAUCUUUGUCGUCGUUCACCAUUGUCUUCAGCAUGAGUAACACACACCAACUCACAUGGGUUAGGCCACAUUCGACACCAACACUACACAACCCAUAGCCCAAAUCUUACUCCACUAUAUCGUUACUGGAUGCAUGUGUCACAUACUAUAUGUUGAUGGAACGGAAGAGCAAAGAGAAGAUCUAGACCAUCUUCCACGCUAUGCCAUUGGAAGCAAUGUACCAGACUGUCGACUACAGAUAUUCCUCCAAAAAUAUGUAACUUCUUCUCGAGGCUGGCAGAGUGUACUGCCAAAGUUAUUACAUGAUCGCAACAUGUCAUCUACUACAUCAUGUGGAAUUUGCGGUAUAGCGGAUCAUACAUGGUUUCACUGCUCGUUGAUUGUAUAAUGGUUUGAUAUGUUAGGGCUUUGAUAGAUGAAGACUUGACGGAGCAAAUAUGCAUGUCGGCUUCGGAAAAUAACCUAUUGAUGUCGCCAAAGAAAAAUAAGGUGAAGAGAGGCUUGGGACCGGGCCCAACUCAUCCCAAAUGGAUCCUGCGGCCACAAGGAAGUUGCAAGACCAAUGCAAAUAGAGCACUCGCAAAAUUUUCAGCGAAGGUAGCCGUCGUAAUUGCUUGUCGUGUUGAAGAUGACUCCGGUCCAGGAGUAUGGACUAUGGUAGCGAAGGCAUUCAGGGCCCAUUAAUAGUUUAAAUGAAGGCCCUUCGAGAGGCCUUGGACCGACACUUGAUUUAUAGAUCAAAACAGUGAGGAUAACAUUAGACUGUCAGACGAUUGUCAAUGACAUCAACAAUGGAAGCAUGGCAGUCUAUGACAUGAUACUUGUGGAGAUUAAUGGCCGUUGUAAGCAACUCAACGAUAUUUCAUUCCACUAUGAGAAUGAGAGUGGAAAUUCUAAUAGAGGCAGAUUCUACAGCAAAAUAUGCCCUUUCUGUGACGAGUGGCUUGGACUUCUAGCUGCUUAUUAACUAGAGAGCUGCUAUGCACACGAUACCUGUUGCACGAUUGCUGGACGAUAUUGCAAAUCGCACCAUCCAUAUGUAGGAGUAGGUGCGACACAACCACUGGAUUAACUAUCGUGCCUGAAUUGUCCAGUAGGUAUCUCUCGUGAAGUAGUUUCGUAUUAACCAUCUCGCCAGAUUUGUAUACUGUACCCCAAGAAAUUUUAGAUGAAUAUAAAAUCACCAACCUCGUUGAAGACAAAAAAUAAUGGCCGCGUGUGCAAACUCAAUUUUCACCUACUCUCUCCGUCCAACAAUAUAAGACGUUUAUGCAAGCAAGUAAAUGAUUAGAUAUAGUGAGCAGCCAUCUUAAAGUCUGAAUUUGGUCCCUCAACUUUAAAAAGAUGUCCUCCACCUUUAAUUUUCAAUGCCCGAUGAGUUUGGUCCCUCUUCGAAUGUUAAACCGGUUUUUAAUGAUGCUGCUACUAUUAUUUCGUAUUUUAUUUCUUUUUUAUUUCAUGUUGUAUUCGUACACCUUUACACAAGUUUUCAUACAACAGGAAUUUAUAAAUUGUUUUUACAUCAUAAUGAGUUAUUACAUCACGGGGUGAAAGAACCGUGGACUAGUUUCAAGUGGAUGGACAUCGACUUGAAACUAAUCCACGGUUCUUUCACCCAAUGAUAUAAUAAAUAUCAUCAUCAUCAUAUCAUUAACAACUUAUCAUCAUAAUACAUCAUUGUCAUAUAACACCUCCUCAAGAUCAUCGUUUUCAUCAAUGAGACAUCACAUAGCAAAUUGGUCACUAGUCGUAAUCACAAGUACUCCUCAUCAUCAACUCUAACACAUUGUAUCACAUAAUAAACAUAUUGUACCUCAUAGGACCUACUACAUUCUCUUAGGACCUACUAUAUUCUCUAAGGUAAAAUAGCAAAAAAAACAAGAUAGCCCCUGACUCUCCAUUAUGGAGAAUGGAGAUUAUCCUGUCUCCAAUUCUUGCCUUUUGCUUAAUGUUACUUCCAAGAACCUCCUUGUGAAUGUCCAAACAUUUUUUCCAUUCUUUGAUUAGCAUGUGUUCACCGGUUUUAGAAAUCCGAUAUGCACAGGUGAGCUCCUUAGAUUGACCUGGCUGUAUGUUCAGAACUGCAAGGCGACUAUUCUGAUACAUCAGAUGAGGCACACAAUCCAUCGGGAUUUUCUGUUGAAAAACAUAGUAAUAACUUCGUAGUUAGCAAUGAUGUACUAGUUUUAGAAGUAUGCAAAAGAUGCACGGAUGUCGUAAUAGUAAAAAAUCUUACCAGUGUAUCUCCAUAGAAGUUACCGUGGUUCAACACGUGCACUAGUGGCAUGUAUUCACCAUAAUUUGGAGGAGUGCGAUAAUAGGUAUUGUAAUUCUCAAGAUAAGUACAAUAAGCAUUCAGAUGACUUUUCUCCUUAUAAGUUAAUUCGGAGCCAUCAGUGUAGUGGGUUUUGUCUACCAUCUUCUGCACAUUCUUUGAAGAUUCAAAAUAAGCUGUCAAUGGAAAUAAGCUGUCAACUAUUUUGAAAUAAACAAUAUAAAGUAGUUAAUAACUAUGUUUGAGAAACUCACAUUGCGGUAGAAUCGGAAGCGUAUCAACAAGGACCCAAAUGUCCAUAUUGUCUUGCUCGAUGUCAGGAUCACCAAGAUCCAUGGUGACAAUCAUACUCUCAUAAAAACCAUACAUUUUGCAAAGUGUUUCCCAAUUUUGGCAACCAAAAUGGGUUACGCUCUGAGAAUUGUACAUAUUUACUUCAAAAUUGAUAUCAUGAUGGGUCCUUAGGUGUAUUUUCUUUGUUUGAAAAUUUUCAUGGUCUUCCAAACCCAUCCUCUCCAAGACAUAGCGUCUUGCAUGGCAUGGGAUAAGCUAGUCGAAUUGUAAACAAUGAAAAUUAGACGUUGAAAUAGUUGAAGUCAUGCUUAAUUAUGAAAAAACACUUGUCGUUGUUGCGUACCAUUUCAACAUCGAAGGUCUCCUCGAGCUUAAUGCUGAAGCGCCAAUCUUCGUCCAGCUCAACGAACCUGUCGCACAUACCUCGAUCGUCGUGGCACCAGCUACACUCCCCCGGGAGACUAUCAUCGUCCGAGUACGACAUUUCCUACAUUCAUAAUUCAAAGAUUAAACUUGUACAAUUAAAUAUAUAUACUAAAAAACCUAAAUUAGAUCAUUAUUUUUUGAGAAAAUCCAGGCCACUCGAUAUUUACUACAAAUUCUAGCACAAGUCAUGCCAGAAUUCACGGGAAAAUCCGGCAGGACCUUUGCUAAAAAAGGACAUAUCGAGCACCUGAAAUUUGCCAGAACAGAAAUUAAUCAACACUCCAGCAAAACAUAGGCCACUCGGAGGUGUAAACUGAACAUGAACGGCCACUUGGGCAACCACAUAUCCUAUUUGAGCAACACAAGAUAUACAUGGAUAUUUGGCUGGUCCCACCUCGAUGUCGGAGGGGGUCGGUGACGGGGACGACGGCGGGGAUGAUGGAGGGGCUCCUUGAUUUCUACAAAAGCAAAAACCGUAUAAGUUAUCACUAAUACAUCCUAAAUAAUUGCUUAAACUAAAAAAUAACAACAAAUAUGACAUGUUCAACUAGUUUUAUUAAUUGAACUAGUUCUUACUAAAUAUAAACUUACUAUAAAUAGAAAAAAACUAGUUCUUUCUAAAAAUAAAGUAGUUCAACUAGUUAUAUUAAUUAUCUUACUAAAAAUACAUUAGGUCUAUUAACUCAACUAGUUCAACUAGUUUAUUAAUUUACUUACUAAACUAGUUCAACUACAACUAAAGUAGUUCAACUAGUUUAUUAAUUUACUUACUAAUUAUUUUAAACACUUACUAAAAAUAGUGAAAAUAAACUACAUUAUACAAUAGUUAACUAGUACAAUCACUACUACUAAUUAACAUCUACUACUGCUAAAAAUCAUUAUCUAUGAACCCUAAAUUAACAUCUACUACUACUAAAAACAUCUAGUACNNNNNNNNNNNNNNNNNNNNNNNNNNNNNNNNNNNNNNNNNNNNNNNNNNNNNNNNNNNNNNNNNNNNNNNNNNNNNNNNNNNNNNNNNNNNNNNNNNNNNNNNNNNNNNNNNNNNNNNNNNNNNNNNNNNNNNNNNNNNNNNNNNNNNNNNNNNNNNNNNNNNNNNNNNNNNNNNNNNNNNNNNNNNNNNNNNNNNNNNNNNNNNNNNNNNNNNNNNNNNNNNNNNNNNNNNNNNNNNNNNNNNNNNNNNNNNNNNNNNNNNNNNNNNNNNNNNNNNNNNNNNNNNNNNNNNNNNNNNNNNNNNNNNNNNNNNNNNNNNNNNNNNNNNNNNNNNNNNNNNNNNNNNNNNNNNNNNNNNNNNNNNNNNNNNNNNNNNNNNNNNNNNNNNNNNNNNNNNNNNNNNNNNNNNNNNNNNNNNNNNNNNNNNNNNNNNNNNNNNNNNNNNNNNNNNNNNNNNNNNNNNNNNNNNNNNNNNNNNNNNNNNNNNNNNNNNNNNNNNNNNNNNNNNNNNNNNNNNNNNNNNNNNNNNNNNNNNNNNNNNNNNNNNNNNNNNNNNNNNNNNNNNNNNNNNNNNNNNNNCGACGGUGAGGUCGAGAGCGGCGAUGAGGUAGAGAGCGGAGGGGGUGGGGGAGGCGGCGGCGACGGUGAGGUCGAGAGCGGCGGCGGGCGGCGGCGUUGAUGGUGACGGCGGCCUCGGGCGGCGGCGGUGAGGGCAGGCUCGGGCUCGGGCGGCGGCGACAGAGGAGUAGGGGAACAGUGGGGGGAGUAGGAGUUAGCGAAAUUUUGAGCGGGCGGGUGGUUAAGUCGAACUAGCAGUAGCGCACUUUAGGAAACGCGCUAUAGCUAAAGUAGCUAUAGCGCGUUUUCAGGAAAAACGCUACUGCUAAGUCUAAGCACGCAUAAAAAAUAUACGUUGGUCAUCAUUGAUCUUUUUGUGUAGAAUCUAAAUAGUCAACAUAUUUAAGGUGGUAAACACCUUGUUCGCUUAGCAGUAUGGGACUAAACUUAAUUAGGUGCAACACUUAGCAGCAGCGAGUUUUGCAGAAACACGCUGCUACUAAGUACUUUAGCAGCAGCGCGUCCAGGGAAGGGCGCAACUACUAUAUCUAGCCUGGGGGCAAAUCCGUGGCAAUUAUAGUAGUAGCGCUUGUUUCACCUAGAGCACUACUGCUAUCUAGUUAUUAGUAGCGCGGUUCCUUUAAGCUCGCUACUGCUAGUUAGCAGUAGCGCCUGUUUUUAAAUUGCGCUGCUGCUAAGAUUCUGUGUAUAACAUUUUCCGUAGUAGUGAUGGGAGACGCUCGGCUGGUGUGCGUCAUUGUCUCCAUUGUGCUCAACGCUAUGCUAUCUGAAAGUUUUUCCCCACAUUUUAGUUAGAAUGUUUUAUUGUGCUGCGAAGUUUGAAGUUGGAAGAAACCAAAAAAAAGUUCUUGCACAAAUCGCGAUGAAUGGCUAGAUAAGGAGAUGCACCUAAGCCUAUUCUCCACAAGAUAUGUUCCGUACGCUGCCCCCGGGGGCCUCCUCUGACGUAUCCAAGGCACUGUUUUGGUAACCAAACGAAAUUUCGCGAUCUCACCCGGUUACCGCGUUUAUCGCCCCCUCCCCUCGAGAAACACUCAUACCGGACAAAAAAUCUCAAUUUUUUUUGAAUAUUUUGGAUUCAAACGCUCAGAGUGUAGUUAAAUAUAGGCCAUCUCUUUUAUACUAACAUAAGCGGUCGUGGCCUGGUGGCAACUGUUGCCUUUCUUCAACAGCUUGUCACGGGUUCGAAUUUUGACCCACGCUUUUUAAUUUCUUUUUGAUAUGCAAAAGUUAAAAAAAACUUAAAAUUAUUGAAGUGGCAAGGGGUCGAGCGUGAUAAUUUUUGAAGUUAAGUCCCUAUCUAUAUCGACUUCAAAAAAUUUGAAUUCAAAAUUUAAUUUCAAAUUUCGUUCGAAUUUUUUUCGGUAUUUUGCGGUUACCAUGGUAACCGCGAAUUCCAGUGCCCCUCGAGAAAAAAUGUGCACUUGGGAUCCAAAACCUUGAUCCAAGGCGACCCCAACUUCGCCCACGCUUCCCAAUCCGCGCUCGCACGACACCUCACGUUGCAUUGCUCUGCACCGACCACCGCCUUCCACGCUCGCUUCUCUGACGCCACCGCACCAACGCACAUGCCCGACGGGCUGCUCCCAUCCAUGGCCUUCUCCAGCUCCCGGUGCGUGCUGGUGCAGAGCUAGUGGGGGAGCACGUGAACGACAUCGCCCACCACUAUGGAUCAAGAACUAUGGACGACGGCAGCCAGCGAGGCCAAGUGGCGGCAUGGCUACAAUUCUGAUGAGAUGGAGCACGCACUCAUUAGCCUCCACAGCCACCGAGUAAUUGGCCUUGCCGCGGAAGUGUGGCACUACUACUUGGCCUCAGCGCAGCAGCGACGCUCAGGGAGUAGUACUGCCGUUCACAACGACUUAACAAGAGGAUCUUGUACAACCCGAAAGACACGAAGCAACGAUGGAUCCACAGGAACAACACGGUGCCUUCAGAAGUGAAAGGAUCAAGGAGGGAGGUCGUUGUUCUCCCGGCUCCCCUCAUCUCCUUCUCUGGAGGCCGGAGUAGCGGUGGAUGGGGAGCCAGGGCCUCUCCUGAAUUUAGUAGUUUUGGUACAGGAUGCUUGCCUGGGGUUACCGUGAUGGCGCCUGGGAAGAUGUCGUUACAGUGCUUCCCACCGCUGCCUUUUUUUUACAAAAACGAUUCAGAACUUAUUAUCAAAGUUCAUCAAAAGUAAAAAAAUCUAAAACAUAAGAGAAAUUACAUCGAGAUUUGAAGGCUACCGAACAACCAUUACUACCACUAGAAGGAGCCACCGACCCUGCUAUUGCCGCUCCUCUACCGGAGCCGGCUUGAACGUGCAAUGACAGCCAAGAAGUCUUCGUGCACGUGCCACUAAUGACCAGUGCCCUAGAGCCGCAGUCAUCGCCGUUCAAUCCUUGCAUAGAUCUGAAGCACCUGACACCAAAUAUUUCCACAUGAUGAGAAACCCUAACCUCACUGCCCCAAGGAGAUGGCAGGAAUCUACGCUGGGGAUCCAUCAACUACAUACAGACGGACGAACUUGAGAAGGAUCGAAGCACGAAAUACCAACUCAAAGAAGUAGCACCAGCAUCUGCCCAAGUGUUGCACCCGCAAGGACUAAAAACCGUAACCUAAACUACCAACCGGUGUGGAGACACCCAGAUUCUCCUCCCCGCCACUGUCCACCGGAGCGGUAGGCAAAAGGGAGGCGAAUCCAUGGGCUCGAGGUGAAGUCUAGGUUUUUUUUGUCCUAAUGGCCUAUGAUUAGGGGAGGAAAAUGAGAGGCUGCCCACCGUUGCUUGCAUAGUGCACGGUGGUCGUCGAUAUCAUCUUCCGCUCUGGUUCCAUGGUGACGUGAAAGGGAGGCAACGGUUCUUUCGCUAGCUCCCUUAAUAAGCACGCACUCGCAUAGGAUCAAGUUUGUCUCAUGUCCUCUCCUCCUUAUUUUUGCCAUCAUGGCGACGCCAGAGGUGGAAGAGCACUACAGGACUUGGGCUUCUGAUAUAGUGAGGUAUUUUGUAAAGAUCUGUUAGAGGGCCUCCAGCAUGCCUCCUGUUGCUACAUUCAUCGUGAUGGUGGAGGCAUGGACGCGGUCAUUUUGAUGUGGUUCAAGAGCUCAUGGUGGUGGAUUUGGAGGAAUUUUGGUGCCUCGGGGUGGGCGUUCGGGUUUACCCAAAAUUCCGGGUCUGGUAAUUCGGAUUUUUAGAAAUUUGGGUUUCUAAAAUAAACACCCAAAAUAUUCCUGAAAAAGAGAAAUCCAAAAAUUCUGGUUUAGGUUCGGGUAUUCCUGAAUUACCCGAAUUAGCACAACAAACAAAAUGACAGCAGCAACUCGCGGCAUACUGAUGGCUGAUGCAGCGCUCCCCUUUGCUUCCCUCACUCAAAGGUUGUGGGAUGUAGCCUCACCUUGUUUGCUUCUCAUGGCGGCAGGAUACUGGGACUAGGAGGUCAUCGACCUUAUUGCAGAUUUGCAGGCGAAGGUGGUGAGCCUCGUGCGCGUCACAGAUAGUGGCAGCGAGGUGCAGACGAUGGUGACGAUGUUGGCGAAGUGGAUGGAGUUAAUGAGGUGGCCAACCUCCCGGCCGCAUUGCAUGCUCGUGGUUGCUAGGUCGGGACACAGGAUGUGGCCGACUGCAUUGCAUUGUAGCCGCUGGUUCGAGAGAGACGGAGAGGAAGGAACGAGGCGCCUAUGUGUGUGUGUGUGUGUGUGUGUGUGAGAGAGAGAGAGAGAGAGAGAGAGAGAGAGAAAUGGACUGCUCGACUAGUGGCACAACAUGGGAAGUGGAUGGGGGUCGCGACUAUGCUCGGUCGACCUAGGGAAAUCGAGGCCUUAUUCUUAUUCCCAUAUUGGGCUAGGUUGAUGCCAGAAGGUGGAAUUUUGAUUGGGCGGUACCAUGAGUUGGGACCCAAAUUUCCCAAAAAAUUGGGUUUCUCAAAAUGUUACCUGGUUUAGUUUUCCAGUUUUCCGGGUUAGGGCUAAAUGGGUUCUCGUUUGGGCGUUGGGUAUCGGGUUUUAUGCUCAUCGUGUGUGGUGCCCUUGUUGGUCAUGGCCUAGUUUCCUCCGAGGGGACACGUAUCUUGUGGUCAAAAGGGGACCAAUUUCAUUUCUUCUGACCAUGAUGCCAGAGAUGAGACAAGUUGCUUAAAGGUGGAUUAUUCAAUGCCAUGUUGUCAUGGAGGUCUCGCCGUCUCAAGUGGUGUCAUUCGUGGACCAACGAGACUAGCACUACUAGGGAAAAGCCUAGCAGCAGCGCGGGUUUUGGGCCUCUCAGUAGCGCGGGGACCGGCGCUACUAAUAAGGCGCUACAGCUAACAGGUAGCGCCUGUUGUCCCAUGCUACUGCUAUACAUGAAUAGCUGUAGCACUCUUUAGAAAAGGGCGCUGCUGAUAUUAUCUGCAGCGCUGUUUACUGGGAAGCGCUACUGGUAAGGCGGUGCUACUACUAAAUUUUUCCUCCUCGCUACUACUAGUUUUAUUAGUUUUUUCCCUGCAUAUUUGUUUUGUAUUUGAAUAGGCUUUAUACAAUAAUCUUUAGCAUAUCAUACACCUACAAAUGUAAUCAUAGCAUAUACAUACAAUUAGUCUCAUCAAAUCAUGUCAUCAUCAUAAUCAUCAUCCAACACAAAGUGGUCUCUCGUCAUCACCUCAAAAAUAGUGAUACAAGUCUUGAUUACUUGCAAAUACAUCAUCAUCCAUCUAAACAAUGAUAUACGCGAGAAGAGCUAUCACUUUGAGUACAUGAGUUCGUAUCCCUCUCUCGCAUUAGCAUGAACCUAAACUAACUACUGCCUGUCACUCGGAAACCAGAAACCGGUACACAUGGGCCUGACACUCCGGCCACUUGUCGUAUAUACACUCCUGGCGUAGCACUUCUUCGCCAUCUAUGAUCUAUGCACCUGCAUCGUCACAUGAGUCGAUGAUAUGCAACAUAUAUAGUUGAGCAACAGAAAGAGACAGACUUGGCAAAAAUAGAAACAACAUAUCAUAAGCAUAAAUAACAAAGUUCAUCGUACCCCAAAAUGCCCUAACUAGAGUGAUUUUCGCUAGUCGAGGAGGAGGAGGACGGUUUAAUUACAUCACAAAUAAAGUUUCACCGUGCAUAACUCAAAGUUUUUUCAUACAGAAAGUAUGGACUUAACGGACACAUUGUCAUAUAUCGACAAUCACUCCAACAUGUCGUUCCAUCCAUCCAAGUCAGGGAGAUAGUCCUCGAGCUUAGUGAAAGGCUUCAUGUCGAGACGCUGAGAGGCUAUCCAUGUUCGGACGUCUUCCCGUGACAUUUGUCCUUCUCCGUAGAACAUCCCUGUUUUUCCGACGACCUCCUUCAUGAUGAUUUGGGCAAGUUCGCGCUGGAUGUUAUAGAACUCAGCUCGAAGACGAUGAUCCUCGAUAUCUCCUAUGUCCUUUUCCCAUUGCAGAAUAUGGGCAUCGAAGGAUCUAGGUGACAUGCGAAGGUUCUGGUGAUCCCGUCUGUACUCCAGCAUGUGGUGUAGGACAUAGAAUCCAUCAUUAAGAGAAUCGUUCGGUUGCUGGAUGCAGCAGAAGUCGGUCUUAUGGCCGAAGGCGACCCUGCCGCCCCUUCUCUUCUUGUCCCUGACCUCUCCACCCCUUGCUUGGUAGUAAAACAUAGCACUGUCGAACAUCCUUGAUGUGGGUGUAAUCCUUUUUGUGAAUGUUCUUCGACGAGUCCAAGUAAAGAGCGUGGGAGAAUCGGGGGUAGAUGAUGAUGAGGACGGCGCACCCGCUGCAGCGCAAAAUAAGUACACCUCAAAUUAAUUAGCCUACACCGUCCAAAUGAAUGAUUGAAAUCGAAGGAAGGAUAGCAGCGCGUAUUCACGGUGCUUUGCGCAGACUCCCAAGAAGCCCUCUGAUGUCUACUACACAACCUUCUUCUUGUAGACGUUGUUGGGCCUCCAAGUGCAGAGGUUUGUAUGACAGUAGCAAAUUUCCCUCAAGUGGAUGACCUAAGGUUUAUCAAUCCGUAAGAGGCGUAGGAUGAAGAUGGUCUCUCUCAAGCAAACCUGCUCUUGUGUCCCCAACACACCCAAUACAAUGGUAAAUUGUAUAGGUGCACUAGUUCGGCGAAGAGAUGGUGAUACAAGUGGUAUAUGGAUAGUAGAUAAUAGUUUUUUUAAUCUGAAAAUAUAAAAACAGCAAGGUAACGAAUGAUAAAAGUGAGCGUAAAUGGUAUUGCAAUGUGUGGAAACAAGGCCUAGGGUUCAUACUUUCGCUAGUGUAAGUUCCCUCAACAAUACUAACAUAAUUGGAUCACAUAACUAUCCCUCAACAUGCAACAAAGAGUCACUCCAAAGUCACUAAUAGCGGAGAAUGAACAAAGAGAUUAUGGUAGGGUACGAAACCACCUCAAAGUUAUUCUUUCCAAUCAAUCCGUUGGGCUAUUCCUAUAAGUGUCACAAACAGCCCUAGAGUUCGUACUAGAAUAACACCUUAAGAAACAAAUCAACCAAAACCCUAAUAUCACCUAGUUACUCCAUUGUCACCUCAAAUAUCCGUGGGCAUGAUUAUACGAUAUGCAUCACACAAUCUCAAUUCAUCUAUUCAACCAACACAUAGAACCUCAAAGAGUGCCCCAAAGUUUUUACCGGAGAAUCACGACGAAAACGUGUGCCAACCCCUAUGCAUAGGUUCAUGGGCGGAACCCGCAAGUUGGUCACCAAAACAUACAUCAAGUGGCAUGUGGUAUCCCAUUGUCACCACAAAUAUCCACGGCAAGACAUACAUCAAGUGUUCUCAAAUCUUUAAAGACUCAAUCCGAUAAGAUAACUUUAAAGGGGAAACUCAAUUCAUUACAAGGGAGAAGAGGGGGAGGAGAAACAUAGGAUCCAACUAUAAUAGCAAAGCUCGUGAUACAUCAAGAUCGUCCCAAAUCAAGAACACGAGAGAGAGAGAGAGAGAGAGAGAGAGAGAGAGAGAUCAAACACAUAGCUACUGGUACAUACCCUCAGCCCCGAGGGAGAACUACUCCCUCCUCGUCAUGGAGAGCGCCGGGAUGAUGAAGAUGGCCACCGGCGAGGGUUCCCCCCUCCGGCAGGGUGCCGAAACAGGGUCCCGAUUGACUUUUGGUGGCUACAGAGGCUUGCGGCAGCGGAACUCCUGAUCUAUUGUUCGUUCUAGAAGUUUUAGGGUACGACGAUAUAUAUGGGUGCAUGAAGUACGUCAGAGGAGCCACGGGGGAGGCAGGGGGGCGCGCCCUAGGGGGGUGGGCGCACCCCCCACCCUCGUGGGCAGCCCGUGUCUCCCCUGACGUGCACUCCAAGUUCCCUGGGUUGCUUUCCUUCCAAAAAUAACUUCUCCAGUUGAUUUUGUUCCGUUUCGACUUCGUUUGAUAUUCCUUUUCUUCGAAACACUGAAAUAGGCAAAAAACAACAAAUCUGGGUUGGGCCUCCAGUUAAUAGGUUAGUCCCAAAAGUAAUAUAAAAGUGGAAAAUAAAGCCCAAUAUUGCCCAAAACAGUAGAUAAUAUAGCAUGGAGCAAUCAAAAAUUAUAGAUACGUUGGAGACGUAUCAGGCAUCCCCAAGCUUAAUUCCUGCUCGUCCUCGAGUAGGUAAAUGAUAAAAAGAUAAUUUUUGAUGUGGAAGGCUAGUUGGCAUAAUUUCAAUGUAAUUCCUCUUAAUUGUGGUAUGAAUAUUCAGAUCCAUAAGAUUCAAGACAAAAGUUCAUAUUGACAUAAAAAUAAUAAUACUUCAAGCAUACUAACUAAGCAAUCAUGUCUUCUCAAAAUAACAUGGCCAAAGAAAGUUAUCCCUACAAAAUCAUAUAGUCUGGCUAUGCUCCAUCUUCACCACACAAAAUAUUUAAAUCAUGCACAACCCCUAUGACAAGCCAAGCAAUUGUUUCAUACUUUUGAUGUUCUCAAACUUUUUCAAUCUUCACGCAAUACAUGAGCGUGAGCCAUGGACAUAGCACUAUAGGUGGAAUAGAAUGGUGGUUGUGGAGAAGACAAAAAGGGAGAAGAUAGUCUGACAUCGACUAGGCGUAUCAACGGGCUAUGGAGAUGACCAUCAAUAGAUAUCAAUGUGAGUGAGUAGGGAUUGCCAUGCAACGGAUGCACUAGAGCUAUAAGUAUAUGAAAGCUCAACACAAGAAACCAGUGGGUGUGCAUCCAACUCGCUUGCUCAUGAAGACCUAGGGCAUUUUGAGGAAGCCCAUCAUUGGAAUAUACAAGCCAAGUUCUAUAAUGAAAGAUUCCCACUAGUAUAUGAAAGUGACAACAUAGGAGACUCUCUCUCAUGAAGAUCAUGGUGCUACUUUGAAGCACAAGUGUGGUAAAAGGAUAGUAGCAUUGUCCCUUUUAUUUUUUAUUUUUUAUUUGGCCUUCCUUUUUUUAUUUGGCCUUUCUUUUUUUAUUUGGCCUUUCUAUUUUCUUUUUUUGGGACAAUGCUCUAUUGAAUGAUGAUCAUCACACUUCUAUUUAUUUACAACUCAAUGAUACAACUCGAUAAUAGAGCAAAGUAUGACUCUAUAUGAAUGCCUCCGGCGGUGUACCGGGAUGUGCAAUGAUGCAUGAGUGACAUGUAUGAAAGACUUAUGAAGGGUGGCUUUGCCACAAAUACGAUGUCAACUACAUGAUCAUGCUAAGAAAUAUGACAAUGAUGAAUGUGUCAUGAUGAAUGGAAUGGUGGAAAGUUGCGUGACAAUAUAUCUCGGAAUGGCUAUGGAAAUGCCAUAAUAGGUAGGUAUGGUGGCUGUUUUGAGGAAGGUAUAUGGUACCGGUGAAAGUUGCGCGGUACUAGAGAGGCUAGCAAUGGUGGAAGGGUGAGAGUGCGUAUAAUCCAUGGACUCAACAUUAGUCAUAAAGAACUCACAUACUUAUUGCAAAAAUCUACAAGUUAUCAAAGCAAAGUAUUACGCGCAUGCUCCUAGGGGGAUAUAUUGGUAGGAAAAGACCAUCGCUCGUCCCCGACCGCCACUCAUAAGGAAGACAAUCAAUAAAUAAAUCAUGCUCCGACUUCAUCACAUAACGGUUCACCAUACGUGCAUGCUACGGGAAUCACAAGCUUCAACACAAGUACUUCUCAAAUUCACAACUACUCAACUAGCAUGACUCUAAUAUCACCAUCCUCAUAUCUCAAAACAAUUAUCAAGCAUCAAACUUCUCAUAGUAUUCAACACACUCAUAAGAAAGUUUUGUUAUUCUUGAAUACCUAGCAUAUUAGGAUUUUAGGAAAAUUAUCAUGCUAUUUAAGACUCUCAGAAUGAUAUAAGUGAAGAAUGAGAGUUCAUCUAUUCCUUCAAAAUAAAACUACCACCAUGCUCUAAAAGAUAUAAGUGAAGCACUAGAGCAAAUGACAAACUACUCCGAAAGAUAUAAGUGAAGAUCAAUGAGUUGUCGAAUAAUUAUGCAACUAUGUGAAGACUCUCUAACAUUUAAUAAUUUCAGAUCUUGGUAUUCUAUUCAAACAGCAAGCAAAGCAAAAUAAAAUGACAUCUAAGAAUAGCAAACAUGUAAAGAAGCAAAAACUUAGGAUCAACCGAUACUAACCGAUAGUUGUUGAAGAAGAAAGGUGGGAUACCAACCGGGGCAUCCCCAAGCUUAGACGCUUGAGACUUCUUGAAAUAUUAUCUUGGGGUGCCUUGGGCAUCCCCAAGCUUGAGCUUUUGUGUCUCCUUAAUUCCUCUCAUAUCACGGUCUCCCUAAAUCUCAAAAGCUUCAUCCACACAAAACUCAACAAGGACUCAUGAGAUAAGUUAGUAUAAACCAUUGCCAAAAAAUUAUCAUAUUCUACUGUAGCAAAUCACUAAAAUUAUUAUUCAACAUUGCAAACUAAAUUCCUCUGCAUAUUUAAUAGUCCUAUCCUCAAAUAGAAUCAUUAAAGAAGCAACCAUAUGCAAACAAUGCAAACAUAACAACAAUCUGCCUAAACAGGAUAGUCUAUAAAGAAUGCUGCAACAUCCAUACUUCCCUAGCUCCAAAAAUUAUGAAAUAAAAUUCCCACUGUAGUAAAUUUAUCAGAUCUUAGUAUGCAAAAGGUUUCAACAUUUUAUCACAUUCUGACUUUUCUAGGGAAUUAUUGCAACAGUGGUAAACUUUCUGUUUUCAAACAGCAACAUGUAUACUUGUAACAUAGGCAUAGUAAAGGCUAUCAAUGCCACUUUUAUUGAAAUAAAAGAUGCAAAACAUUUUUCUAAAUAACAACAAGAAAAUCCUAACAAAAUAAAUUGACGCUCCAAGCAAAACACAUAUCAUGUGGCGAAUAAAAAUAUAGCUCCAAGUAAAGUUACCGAUGAACGAAGACGAAGUAGGGGAUGCCUUCCGAGGCAUCCCCAAGCUUAGGCUCUUGGAUAUCCUUGAAUAUUAUCUUGGGGUGCCUUGGGCAUCCCCAAUCUUAGGCUCUUUCCACUCCUUGUUCCAUAGUCCAUCAAAUCCUUACCCAAAACUUGAAAACUUCACAACACAAAACUUAAAGUAGAAAACUCGUAAGCUCCGUUAGUGUAAGAAAAUAAAUCACCACUUCAAUGUACUAUAAUGAAUUCAUUAUUUAUUUAUAUUGGUGUUAAACCUACUGUAUUCCAACUUCUCUAUGGUUUAUAAACUAUUUUACUAGCCAUAGAUUCAUCAAAAUAAGCAAACAACACAUCGAAAACAGAAUCUGUCAAAAACAGAAUAGUCUGUAGUAAUCUGGAUCAAACGUAUACUUCUGGAACUCAUAAAAUUCUCAAAUAAAUUGCUGGACCUGAGGAAUUUAUCUAUUAAUCAUAUGCAAAAAUAAUUAACUAAAUAUCACUUCCCAAAUAAAAAUGGCAGCAAUUCUCGUGAGCGCUAAAGUUUCUGUUUUUUACAGCAAGAUCAACAAGACUUCCCCAAGUCUUCCCAACGGUUCUACUUGGCCCAAACACUAAUUAAAUGCAUAAAACCACAUCUAAAAAGAGGCUAGAUGAAUUAUUUAUUACUAAACAGGAACAAAAAUCAAGGAAUAAAAAUAAAGUUGGGUUGCCUCCCAACAAGCGCUAUCGUUUAACGCCCCUAGCUAGGCAUGAUAAUGACAAUGAUGCUCACAUAAAAGAUAAGAAUUGAAAUAUAGAGAAAGCAUCAUGAAGAAUAUGACUAGCACAUUUAAGCCUGACCCACUUCCUAUGCAUAGGGAUUUUGUGAUCAAACAACUUAUGGGAACAAUAAUCAACUAGCAUAGGAAGGCAAAACAAGCAUAACUUCAGGAUUUUAAGCACAUAGAGAGGAAACUUGAUAUUAUUGCAAUUCCUACAAGCAUAUGUUCCUCCCUCAUAAUAAUUUUCAGUAGCAUCAUGAAUGAAUUCAACAAUAUAACCAGCACCUAAAGCAUUCUUUUCAUGAUCUACAAGCAUGCAAAAUUUACUACUCUCCACAUAAGCAAAAUUCUUCUCAUUAAUAGUAGUGGGAGCAAACUCAACAAAGUAACUAUCAUGGGAUUGAAAAUUGAAAUCAAGAUGACAAGUUUCAUUGUUAUCAUUAUUCUUUAAAGCAUACGUGUCAUCACAAUAAUCAUCAUAGAUAGGAGGCAUGCUUUCAUCAUAGUAAAUUUGCUCAUCAAACCUUGGGGGACUAAAAAUAUCAUCUUCAUCAUACAUAGCUUCCCCAAGCUUGUGGCUUUGCAUAUCAUUAGCAUCAUAGAUAUUCAAGGAAUUCAUACUAACAACAUUGCAAUCAUGCUCAUCAUUCAAAUAUUUAGUGCCAAACAUUUUAUAGAUUUCUUCUUCUAGCACUUGAGCACAGUUAUCCUUUCCAUCAUACUCACGAAAGAUAUUAAAAAGGUGAAGCGUAUGAGACAAACUCAAUUCCAUUUUUUGUAAUUUUGUUUUAUAAACUAAACUAGUGAUAAAAAAAUAAACUAAAAGACUCGAUUGCCAGAUCUAAAGAUAUACCUUCAAGCGCUAACCUCCCCGGCAACGGCGCCAGAAAAGAGCUUGAUGUCUACUACACAACCUUCUUCUUGUAGACGUUGUUGGGCCUCCAAGUGCAGAGGUUUGUAGGACAGUAGCAAAUUCCUCUCAAGUGGAUGACCUAAGGUUUAUCAAUCCAUAAGAGGCGUAGGAUGAAGAUGGUCUCUCUCAAGCAACCCUGCAACCAAAUAACAAAGAGUCUCUUGUGUCCCCAACACACCCAAUACAAUGGUAAAUUGUAUAGGUGCACUAGUUCGGCGAAGAGAUGGUGAUACAAGUGGUAUAUGGAUAGUAGAUAAUAGUUUUUGUAAUAUUGAAAAUAUUAAAACAGCAAGGUAACGAAUGAUAAAGGUGAGCGUAAACGGUAUUGCAAUGUGUGGAAACAAGGCCUAGGGUUCAUACUUUCGCUAGUGUAAGUUCCCUCAACAAUACUAACAUAAUUGGAUCACAUAACUAUCCCUCAACAUGCAACAAAGAGUCACUCCAAAGUCACUAAUAGCGGAGAACGAACGAAGAGAUUAUGGUAGGGUACAAAACCACCUCAAAGUUAUUCUUUCCAAUCAAUCCGUUGGGCUAUUCCUAUAAGUGUCACAAACAUCCCUAGAGUUCGUACUAGAAUAACACAUUAAGACACAAAUCAACCAAAACCCUAAUGUCACCUAGAUACUCCAUUGUCACCUCAUGUAUCCGUGGGCAUGAUUAUACGAUAUGCAUCACACAAUCUCAAUUCAUCUAUUCAACCAACACAUAGAACCUCAAAGAGUGCCCCAAAGUUUCUACCGGAGAAUCACGACGAAAACGUGUGCCAACCCCUAUGCAUAGGUUCAUGGGCGGAACCCGCAAGUUGGUCACCAAAACAUACAUCAAGUGGCACGUGGUAUCCCAUUGUCACCACAGAUAUCCACGGCAAGACAUACAUCAAGUGUUCUCAAAUCUUUAAAGACUCAAUCCAUAAGAUAACUUCAAAGGGGAAACUCAAUUCAUUACAAGAGAGAAGAGGGGGAGGAGAAACAUAGGAUCCAACUAUAAUAGCAAAGCUCGCGAUACAUCAAGAUCGUGCCAAAUCAAGAACACGAGAGAGAGAGAGAGAGAGAGAUCAAACACAUAGCUACUGGUACAUACCCUCAGCCCCGAGGGAGAACUACUCCCUCCUCGUCAUGGAGAGCGCCGGGAUGAUGAAGAUGUCCACCGGUGAGGGUUCCCCCCUCCGGCAGGGUGCCGGAACAGGGUCCCGAUUGUAUUUUGGUGGCUACAGAGGCUUGCGGCGGUGGAACUCCCGAUCUAUUGUUCGUUCUGGAAGUUUUAGGGUACGACGAUAUAUAUGGGUGCAGGAAGUACGUCGGAGGAGCCACGGGGGCCCCACGAGGCAGGGGCGCGCCCUAGGGGGGUGGGGGCGCCCCCCACCCUCGUGGGCAGCCCGUGUCUCCCCUGACGUGCACUCCAAGUUCCCUGGGUUGCUUUCCUUCCAAAAAUAACUUCUCCAGUUGAUUUCGUUCCGUUUCGACUUUGUUUGAUAUUCCUUUUCUUCGAAACACUGAAAUAGGCAAAAACAACAAAUCUGGGCUGGGCCUCCAGUUAAUAGGUUAGUCCCAAAACUAAUAUAAAAGUGGAAAAUAAAGCCCAAUAUUGCCUAAAACAGUAGAUAAUAUAGCAUGGAGCAAUCAAAAAUUAUAGAUACGUUGGAGAAGUAUCACCCUCGUGCAUGUAGUACGGGUCAGUGACACAGAUAUGAGAUAUCUGCUCAACCCCGAUGAUGUAGUUCAUGUGCAAGGCAUAAAGGCGGACAAACGUAAAAUCCAGCUUCUUCACGUGAAACAUGUCGAAUAUGUAAUCGAAUCGGAGGAAGAACUUAUUUGCGGGGAAGUUGUCGACGUACGACAUUUGCCGUGGAACGUUAACCAUGCAGAGUGGGUAUCCUGGAUCUUUCAAGGCGAUGAGGCCUUUCUCUACCCGCAGCACAUCGUCAUGAAGUCUCCUUAGAUCGCCGAAUCUGACCCGUAGCGCUGUUGCAGGUAGGAUUGGUUGACCGGGGAUAUGCCAUUUAUCCGCAUCGGGGAUAUCUAUACGGUCCUGAAGCCGAGGCUGCUGGAUCAUAGAAUUAGCUUUUUUGCGUUUCCUUGCUCUCUUCCUAGACUUCUUUACUACCGGAAGGUCGUCCAUAAUACGUUGAGACAGCAAUUCAGGCACCGACUCAUGACGCUCAAACCCUGAGGAGGCACCAGUAUAGACAUACUGUUCAGCGCCAUCGUCGUCCUCAUCCUCAUCCAUGGCGACAUCAUCAGCGACUAAUGGAGCCUCCUCCUUACCCCGUCCGCUAUCACCCAACCCGAUACCCAAUGCUAAUUGGGUAGGUGGGGGUUGAUGUUCAUACCUUGCUGAGGCUGCAUGCUUGUGGGUGUGCUCCCGGCCGCCUCCAGACGAAGCAGACUCUUUGGCCACAAUAGGACCCACCCAUUGCAACAAUCACCAAGCCACCGAGGUGUCUCGUCGUCAUCCCCCACUAUUAUUGGAGGAGGCAAAUUCUCGUGGCCCGGUUUGACACUGGCCACGGAAACCUUGAAGACGUUCGGGGGGAUCGGCCGGCUGUGGAAUAAUGGUUCCUUCGGCUCCAUUAUCGUCGCCUUCCCCACGUCCACCUUCUGGUCCCCGAUGGUGUACGAUAUGGUGCACGGGGUUUCGUCGGCCCACAAAGAAAAGUCUGUGACGUGAGACAUCUGAAAGGCAACGAAAACGGGAGAUUAUACAUUUAUAUUGAAUGGGGCCGGUGUGACAGAUACCGUGAGGGCGUCGAGCUCAGCCAAAGAAGAAGCACCACCGAGCACGUCCGGUGCGGGAGCCGGUGCGGGAGCAGGUGCGGGUGCAACGCUAGUCGAGCUGCUCCCCAAGAAGUCAGCAAGGGGAAAGUCCUCUGCAUUUUUUUCUGGAUUUUGCCUUGUCCAAGUGAAAACGCCCGUCACCAAGGAAGUAGACAAAUCUGCAACCACCUGUUUUGCGGCGGCUACCGCUGUUGCGACUAUCUGAGAUGAUUUCUUCUCAACCGCAAUCUCAACCUUCUUGUCGAUGUUUUCUUUCGUUAACCUCUGUCUUUCCUUUCUCUCCUCCGUGGUCUCACGGAAGUACUUCUUCCACGUGGCGCCGUCUCCAACACCGUGCACGCGUCCAUACGACGGUCGAGUAUCCACCGGUUGUCGUUUCAAUAUGUUCAACGCCCGGUUGAAUGGAGUGUCCCACUUGGGCCUCGCCAAUGCCUCAGACGGCGAGUCGCUUUCGGCCGCAAUCCGGUGCUGCUCUCUCUGCAAAAGGCACAAGGAUCGUUUACAAAUAUGACUAACAUGUGCAGUCGAAUUGAUCAGAAACUAAAAUUACCAGCAGACACAUGAACUCCGUAAUGACCGGUUUUGUCUCGUAAACCUUCUUCACUAGGUCCCAACGGUGCCGGGCUCUGAGGACGUCACGCUCCUGCGGAACGGUGAAAUCCGCCAAGGGGUCUGGGAUGCCCAGACUCGCGGCUUCCGCGUCCUCCUUGGCCCAUUUGGACCUCUUUCCACCGUAACCACGGCUUUCGAGGUGGUGGCUCCCAAUGUUCCUCUCUUGAAGCCCCUUCAUGUACUUAGACUUUUUUUUGGCAGCUUCGGCCUCACAAGCCUCCUUGAAUAUUUGAAACUGCUCUUCCGUGAUUGUCGGAUUAUCCUUUACAAUCUCGGAGUAGGGUUCCUUCUUGUCGAUGAUCUUUGCUUUCACUCGAUUUUCCAGGCGGCCAACGCGUCGCUAAACUUGGUCAAUGGCGUGUUUGUUUAUCUUCUUCAUUGCCGGGUUGUCAUCUGGAUCUUGAUAAUCCUUCUCAUUCUGGCCCGGGAACAAGAAUAUCUGGUGAAACUUCUUUAGGACGGAGCUCCUCAUAUUUUCUAUCUUCUGUAGUUUCUCAUCAUUGAUGGUGGCGGUUGUCUGUACGAUGCAGCCUAUUUGAUUGCCGAAGCAUCAACGCGCUUCCUCGUGCGCCUUUGGCUCAAAAUUUCCAUCAUCCACCUCCGUGACCACCAUUCUAGUAGUCCUGAGUUUGUUAGGAAGCCGUUGCCUCUUUGCUUUCAGUUCUACACCGGCUCCGCUCCCCGAGGCAGCGCCGGUCUCAGUCUCAGCGCCGGUCUCAAUGCCGGUCUGAGUCUCAGCGCUGGUCUCAGUCUCAGCACCGGUCUGCGUGUCGGUCUCAGUCCCCGAUGCCACCGGUGGGCCCAACAACAACAUCGGUUGAUCGUCGGCAAGGCUAAAAAAAUCGUCUGCCGCCCGGUAGACGUCGUCGCAAUCACCAGAACCCUGUCCUUCAUCGUUGCUAGCCAUGUUUCCUAUGAUUAAAUCUAGUCAAUUAAUUCUAGACCUAAUAAAAUGAAUAAUGACAUAAAAAAGGCCUAUUGUUUUGCAGGAAUGUUGACUCCUUCCUGGUGCGGCAAAUCCCGGGCACUCGAUAUGUCCUAGUUUGUAGCACAAGUCAUGCCGAAAUUCACAGAAAAAUUCGGCACGACCUUUGCUAAAAAGUGGACAAAUCGAGAACCUGAAAUUUGCCGGAACAGAAAUGAAUCAACAUUCCGGCAAAACAAAGGCCACUCGGCAUCAUUCCCUGGAAACAACAAAGCCACUUGGGCACAAUCGAACAACUUCAAUGGAAAGAUAUAACAUGAGCAAACACUAUUGAGGAAUUUGCAUAUAACAUGGCCACUUCAAUGAAAAGAUAUAAUCAACAAUAAUGGAAUAUGCAAAUGAACAUCAAUGACAUAUAUCAUAUAAAAACAGUCUUGUUUUUUGUUUACAUAGCAACAAUUAGUUUGACCAAGUUUUUGAAAAGAAAAACAAUUCAGUUUUUUGUUUAUAGCUAAAUGCCAUAGCUACUGUUUUUUAUUUAUAGCUAAAUACUUUUGUUUUUUGUCUAAAGCUAAAAGUCUAGGAACUCCAUUUUCUCUAACCCUUCUGACCUCACCAAAAUUUCCACAACAAGACCUUAGUACCUACACCCAAUUUCUUAAAAAAUAUUUAGGUCCAUAGUCCAAAUAAUUCAAAUUUCAUUUGAAUGAAUUUUGGAACAAAUUCAGGUCCAUAGUCCAAAUAUUUUUUUAUAGAUAAGUUUUUUUUUGUUUAUAGCCUCUGUUAAUUGAAAUCUGAAUGCUACUAUUAUUCAUAUACCCUCUAUUAGUUUAAAGCUAAAUGGAAUUACUGUUUAGGCAUUUUCAUAAAAAUUGCACUAGCUAAUUUCCUAAAAAAUUGCUAACCAUUUUUCCUAAAUGCUAUAAAAUGCCUACUGCCCUAAAAAAUCUAGGGUUCAUAUGAACAUCAACACAGUAUCAACAUAUAUAUGAAUUGCCCUAGCAGAGAGAGAGAGGAGGGUAGGGGAUAGGAGAGGCAGAGCCUUACGGUCGGCGGCGAGGGCAGGCUCUGGCUCGGGUGGCGGCGGUGAGGUCGAGGGCGGCGGCGGUGAGCUCGAGGGAGGCGACGGUGAGGUCGACGAUGGCCUCGGGCGGCGGCUGUGAGGUCGAGGGCGGCCUCGGGCGGCGGCGGUGUGGUCGAAGGCGGCGGGCAGCGGCGGUGUGGUCGAAGGCGGCCUCGGGCGGUGGCGGUGUGGUCGAAGGCGGCAGGGCGACGGUGUCGAUGGAGCAGUUGGGGGACAGGGGGCCGGGAGUAGAGAGGGAGGAAAGGACUUAGCGAAAUUUUGAGCCCGGGCUGCCGGGAUUUGUGUCAAACUAGCAGUAGCACGUUUUGCCGAAACGCGCUAUAGCUAAGAUAGCUAUAGCGUGUUCCAGAGAAACGCGCUACAGCUAUUCCUUUCUGUUUUAUUUUUAUUUUUCUUUUAGUUUCUUUACAUUUUCUUUUUUCCAUUUCUCCUUUUUCUAUUUCUUUUAUUUUUUUAUUUAUUUCUUUUCAUAGCAGUAGCGCUCUACAACAUAAACGUGCUGCUACAAAGUUUUUAGCAGUAGCGUGCUUCUAGGUGAACCGCUACUAUUAUUCCUAGCCUACCGGCAUUAGUGAGGGAAUUUUAGUAGUAGCGCUUUUCCGUGAAGACGCGCUACUGCUAAAACAAUGGUUGUAGCGUGGUUUUGCAACAAGCGCUACUACUAAGUAGCGCUAGCGCCGAGUUUUGACCAACGCUACUGCUAUACCUCUGUGUAUAAGGUUUUCCCUAGUAGUGUAGGUCCAUUGGGGAGCAAAAUCAGAGCCGAUUGCAAUAUGAGUUCUUUGUUUUUGUUUGGGGUUUCUUCUGCAAGAUGCAUAAUCUAGUUCAUAAUUUUGAGUUUCCUUUGGAUCCUGUUUAUAAAUUGUACUCGCAUGCUUAUCUAAUCGAUAUUAGGUCUUAAAAAAGAGUGAAAUGGUCUAUUGUCCGUGUGUUACUCUAAUUUGUUGUAGGAUAGCGAUGAUGAGCAAUAGAUUUUUAGAAAACGAACCUUACUAGGAUUUUUAGGAGAUCUGUUUUACUAUCUUUUUUGUUAAGAAUAGGCUUAAGAAAGUCUUGUCUGGUCCUUGAUUAGAUUUUGGAUAUUUAGAGCAUCUACAACCGCCAUGAGCAAAUCAGGCCCCUCAAACGCCUGCGGACGCACCCGGAGACAUCCGCCCGCACUGACCGGGCAUGCCUCAUAUUUGCCACUCUGCAUACAUGUAUCUCAUAUUCGGAGCCUUAUCUCCAUACUACACAUGCAACGUUGAUCUACUCUACAUGAUCAAACGAUGGACAAUAAAAGUCGGCUGCAAAGGAACAUAAGAUCACUGCAAACGGACAUUAACAAACUUGGGCACAUCCAAAAGAUCAUAGUUCGUCACCGGACAAGUUCUUAAACCUCUACAACUAAAACGAUAUAAAAAUGAGGACAGAGGGAUGAACAUUUCCUCGCCGGGCCUUUGCCCUUCCGGUCGCCGGCGCAGCUGUAGGCGUUAUUCGUUAGAUCUUACAUGGAGAUCCAUGUAAAAUUUCCUUUUAAGUUUUUUCUUUCUUCUUUAUUAUAUGUUUUGUCACUUGACUGAGACGUCAUUAAGUCUUAGUCGGCUGAGAUCUAGCCACACCCUUUAUUUACCUUAGCACCUGUAUAGGCAUUUUGCAUGAGAGAUAGCCUUAACAUAAUUUGUUUUCCACGACGUGUUCUCUCACAAUUUUUCUGUCAUGUACCCAACUAUGAGUAGGCAAGUAUUAUUUGUGUUUUGCUCUUACACUGCCCUCAAUGUAAUUGAACCAAGAGCCAACAGAAGGUUUCUUUUUUGGUGGGGAAGCACAAGCUUUUAUUUUGAUACACAUGAUUAAUUAUUGGAGAUAGAUACUACUAUACACAAAUGCUUGUAUCCAAUAUUUGGAUUUCCAUAUCCUCUAAGACAUUACACAAAUGCUUGUAUCCAACAUUUGGAUUUCCAUAUCCUUUAAGACUUUGCACAAAUGCUUGUAUCCAAUAUUUGGAUUUUCAUAUCCUCUAAGACAUUUCACAAUAUUCCAAUAUUUGGAUUUCCAUAUCCUCUAAGACAUUACACAAAUGCUUGUGUCCAAUAUUUGGAUUUCCAUAUCCUCUAAGGCAUCGAAUGCAAAGCAAAGAGGAGUGCAAUAAAUAGCACUCAAACCACGUUCUUCUCCUCACACCAUCAUUCCAACAACUUAUUUUGAUCACUUGGCCAUGGCGUUCAGUGGCGCCCAGAUGCUCGCUGCCUUCACCUUGGGCUUUCUUCUCAUGGCCUUCUGUAAGUUCAUGUAGCAGAUUUUUAUCGCAAUUCCAUGCAAUUUUUGAUCAAUCAAUGAAACAAUUGCUACUAUAAUUUUAUGGUGCACACAUUAAUUCUAACUCACAUGCAGGUGUAGAUGGUCGGGUAUGCACGUCCCCUAGCAAGUUGUACAAAAGGAGCCCUUGCAAGAACAUGGGCUGCACCGCGGCCUGUCACAAAGAGCACUUCAAGGGUGGGUACUGUGCCACUAAGAAGACAAUUGUUGGUGAUGAGCUCAACGAAGACAACGAUGACAACUUCUUUCACAAACGACCUAAGAAAAAGACAUGCGUAUGUACACUUCAAUGCAGUAAAGCCCCACCACCACCGUCAGAACCUGACGUGCCAGAGCCACCGGGUGAACCUGAGGUGCCAGAUCCUAAGAAGAAGCCGCCGCCGCCAUAUGUACGUGAUGUGCCGAAGCCGCCCUCGGGAGAAAAUAAGAAGAAGCUAGUGGCAGCUGCUGACCAGUGAGCAAAUGGUCUAGCCUGCCCGUCCGUGGAAAAUGAUUUCAAUAAGACAGGAAUUAAUCAAUGCUUACUAAAGCCUACGAAACCUUCCAUCCCUAAUUAAUCUCCUCCCCCUGAAUUUCAUUGGUGGGGCAUGCGCCCUUUUCCUUUCCAAUCAAAACCUUCCACGUUAGCUCUCACGUAAAGUAUGUCAAAAGAUUUUCGUACAUGUAGC